This 465-nucleotide ribosomal RNA is filed under the name uncultured bacterium. Its description in RNAcentral is "partial 16S ribosomal RNA". It matches the Rfam family "Bacterial small subunit ribosomal RNA", at positions 338 to 795 of the family's 1533-position model. The record is from RNAcentral.
CCUACGGGCGGCAGCAGUAGGGAAUCUUCCACAAUGGGCGAAAGCCUGAUGGAGCAACGCCGCGUGGGUGAAGAAGGUCUUCGGAUCGUAAAACCCUGUUGUUAGAGAAGACAGUGCGUGAGAGUAACUGUUCACGUUUCGACGGUAUCUAACCAGAAAGCCACGGCUAACUACGUGCCAGCAGCCGCGGUAAUACGUAGGUGGCAAGCGUUAUCCGGAUUUAUUGGGCGUAAAGGGAACGCAGGCGGUCUUUUAAGUCUGAUGUGAAAGCCUUCGGCUUAACCGGAGUAGUGCAUUGGAAACUGGGAGACUAGAGAGCAGAAGAGGAGAGUGGAACGCCAUGUGUAGCGGGGAAAUGCGUAGAUAUAUGGAAGAACACCAGUGGCGAAAGCGGCUCUCUGGUCUGUAACUGACGCUGAGGUUCGAAAGCGUGGGUAGCAAACAGGAUUAGAUACCCCUGUAGUC